Etheostoma spectabile (orangethroat darter) is the source of this 483-nucleotide long non-coding RNA. RefSeq lists it as uncharacterized. The record is from RefSeq and is a predicted model, not a curated record. NCBI's taxonomy places the organism in Eukaryota, Metazoa, Chordata, Actinopteri, Perciformes, Percidae. The transcript is spliced from 4 exons.
GAGGCAGAUAGACCCCAUUUGUGAUGCACAAAAUCACGUAAGACUGCAGAAGGAGAAAGCGUUGUGUGUCUGGAGAUACAUCAACCCCAUCAAAGGAAGAGGUGUGUUUGCAUUGGAGCCCAUUCAUAAAGGUUCAUUCGUUUUGGAGUACAGAGGAGUUUUGAAGACGACUGAUAAGACUACAGCGUGGAAUGAGUAUACAUACGUCUUCAAACACAAAGGAACGGAACAUUGCAUUGAUGCUUCAAGUGAAGAUGGGACACUUGGCAGACUCGUGAAUGAUGCUGAAAAACCAAAUGCAAAAAUGAAAAAAUAGAGGUGGAUGGUGUACCCAGUCUGUGUUUGUUUGCCAUUGUUGACAUUGAGGAAGGGCAAGAAAUAACCUAUGACUACGGAGGAGAAAACCUGCCAUGGCGUUCUUCCCAAAGGCAUCAAAUAUCCAAGCCUAUGGCUCCAAGUACAGUAGAGAAACCUGUUCUCCAC